RNAcentral lists this ribosomal RNA (2930 nucleotides) under Escherichia coli. Its description in RNAcentral is "23S ribosomal RNA". It matches the Rfam family "Bacterial large subunit ribosomal RNA". Lineage: Bacteria; Pseudomonadati; Pseudomonadota; Gammaproteobacteria; Enterobacterales; Enterobacteriaceae. The record is from RNAcentral.
GGGUUGUGAGGUUAAGCGACUAAGCGUACACGGUGGAUGCCCUGGCAGUCAGAGGCGAUGAAGGACGUGCUAAUCUGCGAUAAGCGUCGGUAAGGUGAUAUGAACCGUUAUAACCGGCGAUUUCCGAAUGGGGAAACCCAGUGUGAUUCGUCACACUAUCAUUAACUGAAUCCAUAGGUUAAUGAGGCGAACCGGGGGAACUGAAACAUCUAAGUACCCCGAGGAAAAGAAAUCAACCGAGAUUCCCCCAGUAGCGGCGAGCGAACGGGGAGCAGCCCAGAGCCUGAAUCAGUGUGUGUGUUAGUGGAAGCGUCUGGAAAGGCGCGCGAUACAGGGUGACAGCCCCGUACACAAAAAUGCACAUGCUGUGAGCUCGAUGAGUAGGGCGGGACACGUGGUAUCCUGUCUGAAUAUGGGGGGACCAUCCUCCAAGGCUAAAUACUCCUGACUGACCGAUAGUGAACCAGUACCGUGAGGGAAAGGCGAAAAGAACCCCGGCGAGGGGAGUGAAAAAGAACCUGAAACCGUGUACGUACAAGCAGUGGGAGCCUCUUUUAUGGGGUGACUGCGUACCUUUUGUAUAAUGGGUCAGCGACUUAUAUUCUGUAGCAAGGUUAACCGAAUAGGGGAGCCGAAGGGAAACCGAGUCUUAACUGGGCGUUAAGUUGCAGGGUAUAGACCCGAAACCCGGUGAUCUAGCCAUGGGCAGGUUGAAGGUUGGGUAACACUAACUGGAGGACCGAACCGACUAAUGUUGAAAAAUUAGCGGAUGACUUGUGGCUGGGGGUGAAAGGCCAAUCAAACCGGGAGAUAGCUGGUUCUCCCCGAAAGCUAUUUAGGUAGCGCCUCGUGAAUUCAUCUCCGGGGGUAGAGCACUGUUUCGGCAAGGGGGUCAUCCCGACUUACCAACCCGAUGCAAACUGCGAAUACCGGAGAAUGUUAUCACGGGAGACACACGGCGGGUGCUAACGUCCGUCGUGAAGAGGGAAACAACCCAGACCGCCAGCUAAGGUCCCAAAGUCAUGGUUAAGUGGGAAACGAUGUGGGAAGGCCCAGACAGCCAGGAUGUUGGCUUAGAAGCAGCCAUCAUUUAAAGAAAGCGUAAUAGCUCACUGGUCGAGUCGGCCUGCGCGGAAGAUGUAACGGGGCUAAACCAUGCACCGAAGCUGCGGCAGCGACGCUUAUGCGUUGUUGGGUAGGGGAGCGUUCUGUAAGCCUGUGAAGGUGUGCUGUGAGGCAUGCUGGAGGUAUCAGAAGUGCGAAUGCUGACAUAAGUAACGAUAAAGCGGGUGAAAAGCCCGCUCGCCGGAAGACCAAGGGUUCCUGUCCAACGUUAAUCGGGGCAGGGUGAGUCGACCCCUAAGGCGAGGCCGAAAGGCGUAGUCGAUGGGAAACAGGUUAAUAUUCCUGUACUUGGUGUUACUGCGAAGGGGGGACGGAGAAGGCUAUGUUGGCCGGGCGACGGUUGUCCCGGUUUAAGCGUGUAGGCUGGUUUUCCAGGCAAAUCCGGAAAAUCAAGGCUGAGGCGUGAUGACGAGGCACUACGGUGCUGAAGCAACAAAUGCCCUGCUUCCAGGAAAAGCCUCUAAGCAUCAGGUAACAUCAAAUCGUACCCCAAACCGACACAGGUGGUCAGGUAGAGAAUACCAAGGCGCUUGAGAGAACUCGGGUGAAGGAACUAGGCAAAAUGGUGCCGUAACUUCGGGAGAAGGCACGCUGAUAUGUAGGUGAAGUCCCUCGCGGAUGGAGCUGAAAUCAGUCGAAGAUACCAGCUGGCUGCAACUGUUUAUUAAAAACACAGCACUGUGCAAACACGAAAGUGGACGUAUACGGUGUGACGCCUGCCCGGUGCCGGAAGGUUAAUUGAUGGGGUCAGCGCAAGCGAAGCUCUUGAUCGAAGCCCCGGUAAACGGCGGCCGUAACUAUAACGGUCCUAAGGUAGCGAAAUUCCUUGUCGGGUAAGUUCCGACCUGCACGAAUGGCGUAAUGAUGGCCAGGCUGUCUCCACCCGAGACUCAGUGAAAUUGAACUCGCUGUGAAGAUGCAGUGUACCCGCGGCAAGACGGAAAGACCCCGUGAACCUUUACUAUAGCUUGACACUGAACAUUGAGCCUUGAUGUGUAGGAUAGGUGGGAGGCUUUGAAGUGUGGACGCCAGUCUGCAUGGAGCCGACCUUGAAAUACCACCCUUUAAUGUUUGAUGUUCUAACGUUGACCCGUAAUCCGGGUUGCGGACAGUGUCUGGUGGGUAGUUUGACUGGGGCGGUCUCCUCCUAAAGAGUAACGGAGGAGCACGAAGGUUGGCUAAUCCUGGUCGGACAUCAGGAGGUUAGUGCAAUGGCAUAAGCCAGCUUGACUGCGAGCGUGACGGCGCGAGCAGGUGCGAAAGCAGGUCAUAGUGAUCCGGUGGUUCUGAAUGGAAGGGCCAUCGCUCAACGGAUAAAAGGUACUCCGGGGAUAACAGGCUGAUACCGCCCAAGAGUUCAUAUCGACGGCGGUGUUUGGCACCUCGAUGUCGGCUCAUCACAUCCUGGGGCUGAAGUAGGUCCCAAGGGUAUGGCUGUUCGCCAUUUAAAGUGGUACGCGAGCUGGGUUUAGAACGUCGUGAGACAGUUCGGUCCCUAUCUGCCGUGGGCGCUGGAGAACUGAGGGGGGCUGCUCCUAGUACGAGAGGACCGGAGUGGACGCAUCACUGGUGUUCGGGUUGUCAUGCCAAUGGCACUGCCCGGUAGCUAAAUGCGGAAGAGAUAAGUGCUGAAAGCAUCUAAGCACGAAACUUGCCCCGAGAUGAGUUCUCCCUGACUCCUUGAGAGUCCUGAAGGAACGUUGAAGACGACGACGUUGAUAGGCCGGGUGUGUAAGCGCAGCGAUGCGUUGAGCUAACCGGUACUAAUGAACCGUGAGGCUUAACCUUACAACGCCGAAGCUGUU